This 212-nucleotide long non-coding RNA is filed under the name Oryza brachyantha (malo sina). RNAcentral describes it as "long non-coding RNA (OBRA_LNC000503)". The record is from RNAcentral. Lineage: Eukaryota; Viridiplantae; Streptophyta; Magnoliopsida; Poales; Poaceae.
CCGGCGCUGGGACCCGCCCAGCCCUUGCUCCCACCAUGAGCGCCACCGCCCACCACAACGCCCCCCCUCGGCGUGGCGGAUCAGAGAGGGGCGGGAGAGAGAGAGAGAGAGACGGCGGCGGAAGCUUCUAGAAGACGCGAGAGCAAGGGAGGCAGAAAAGGCGGAGGAGGAGAUGGAGAAUGGCGAAGUCGGGGAGGGUUUUUGUUGCUUCU